Molecule: ribosomal RNA, 443 nt
Filed under: uncultured bacterium
Lineage: Bacteria
Description: bacterial SSU rRNA
Rfam family: Bacterial small subunit ribosomal RNA
Source: RNAcentral
UAGGGAAUAUUGGACAAUGGGUGCAAGCCUGAUCCAGCCAUGCCGCGUGCAGGAAGAAGGCCUUCUGGGUCGUAAACUGCUUUUCUCUGGGGAUAAAAAGACCCUGCGGGGUAAAUUGAAGGUACCAGAGGAAUAAGCCACGGCUAACUACGUGCCAGCAGCCGCGGUAAUACGUAGGUGGCAAGCGUUGUCCGGAUUUAUUGGGUUUAAAGGGUGCGUAGGCGGUUCCAUAAGUCAGUGGUGAAAUACGGCAGCUCAACUGUCGAGGUGCCAUUGAUACUGCGGAACUUGAGUACUGAUGAGGUAGGCGGAAUUGACGGUGUAGCGGUGAAAUGCUUAGAUAUCGUCAAGAACACCGAUAGCGAAGGCAGCUUACCAAGCAGUAACUGACGCUGAGGCACGAAAGUGCGGGGAUCAAACAGGAUUAGAUACCCCGGUAGUCC